UACGUAGGGGAUAGCGUUAUCCGGAAUUACUGGGCGUAAAGGGUGCGUAGGUGGUUUCUUAAGUCAGAGGUGAAAGGCUACAGCUCAACCGUAGUAAGCCUUUGAAACUGGGAAACUUGAGUGCAGGAGAGGAGAGUGGAAUUCCUAGUGUAGCGGUGAAAUGCGUAGAUAUUAGGAGGAACACCAGUUGUGAAGGCGACUCUCUGGACUGUAACUGACACUGAGGCACGAAAGCGUGGGGAGCAAACAGGAUUAGAUACCCUGGUAGUCCCUGA
RNAcentral lists this ribosomal RNA (275 nucleotides) under uncultured prokaryote. Its description in RNAcentral is "partial 16S ribosomal RNA". It matches the Rfam family "Bacterial small subunit ribosomal RNA", at positions 524 to 800 of the family's 1533-position model. The record is from RNAcentral.